AAAAAGAAGUGUAAAUAGCCCGCAGGAAAUUGGCUCCUGAAGUAAGAAUUAAUAUUUUUCUUUUU
RNAcentral lists this transfer RNA (65 nucleotides) under Hemiarthrum setulosum. RNAcentral's name for it is "tRNA-Gln". The record is from RNAcentral. Lineage: Eukaryota; Metazoa; Mollusca; Polyplacophora; Chitonida; Hemiarthridae.